CCUACGGGAGGCAGCAGUGGGGAAUAUUGGACAAUGGGGGCAACCCUGAUCCAGCCAUGCCGCGUGUGUGAAGAAGGCCCUCGGGUUGUAAAGCACUUUCAGUGAGGAAGAACGCCUGGUGGUUAAUACCCAUCAGGAACGACAUCACUCACAGAAGAAGCACCGGCUAACUCCGUGCCAGCAGCCGCGGUAAUACGGAGGGUGCGAGCGUUAAUCGGAAUUACUGGGCGUAAAGCGCGCGUAGGUGGCUUGAUAAGCCGGUUGUGAAAGCCCCGGGCUCAACCUGGGAACGGCAUCCGGAACUGUCAAGCUAGAGUGCAGGAGAGGAAGGUAGAAUUCCCGGUGUAGCGGUGAAAUGCGUAGAGAUCGGGAGGAAUACCAGUGGCGAAGGCGGCCUUCUGGACUGACACUGACACUGAGGUGCGAAAGCGUGGGUAGCAAACAGGAUUAGAUACCCUAGUAGUC
This 465-nucleotide ribosomal RNA is filed under the name Vreelandella stevensii. RNAcentral's name for it is "partial 16S ribosomal RNA". It matches the Rfam family "Bacterial small subunit ribosomal RNA", at positions 338 to 795 of the family's 1533-position model. The record is from RNAcentral. Lineage: Bacteria; Pseudomonadati; Pseudomonadota; Gammaproteobacteria; Oceanospirillales; Halomonadaceae.